Molecule: ribosomal RNA, 468 nt
Filed under: uncultured bacterium
Lineage: Bacteria
Description: partial 16S ribosomal RNA
Rfam family: Bacterial small subunit ribosomal RNA
Source: RNAcentral
GACGAACGCUGGCGGCGUGCUUAACACAUGCAAGUCGAACGGAAAGGCCCUGCUUUUGUGGGGUGCUCGAGUGGCGAACGGGUGAGUAACACGUGAGUAACCUGCCCUUGACUUUGGGAUAACUUCAGGAAACUGGGGCUAAUACCGGAUAGGAGCUCCUGCUGCAUGGUGGGGGUUGGAAAGUUUCGGCGGUUGGGGAUGGACUCGCGGCUUAUCAGCUUGUUGGUGGGGUAGUGGCUUACCAAGGCUUUGACGGGUAGCCGGCCUGAGAGGGUGACCGGGCACAUUGGGACUGAGAUACGGACCAGACUCCUACGGGAGGCAGCAGUGGGGAAUAUUGCACAAUGGGCGGAAGCCUGAGGCAGCAACGCCGCGUGCGGGAUGACGGCCUUCGGGUUGUAAACCGCUUUCGCCUGUGACGAAGCGUGAGUGACGGUAAUGGGUAAAGAAGCACCGGCUAACUACGUG